AAGAAAACAGGCUAUGGUGAAAUAAAUGGUAAUGCUGGAGAAAGAGAAAUAUCUUUAAAGAGCCUGGGUUCUGAUGAAGCUACCAGCCCUAUUUCCAGGGUCCUCAAUGGCAACCAGCAAGCUGUAGAUACUAGUCUGAAGCAGACUGUGAAAGCUGGCACCUUUGGGAAGACAGGAAUUAAAACCAAGAAUUUCAUUCAGAAAAACAGUAUGAACAAGAAGAAGGGAAA
Molecule: long non-coding RNA, 230 nt
Organism: Octodon degus (degu)
Lineage: Eukaryota; Metazoa; Chordata; Mammalia; Rodentia; Octodontidae
Exons: 3
Source: RefSeq, a predicted model, not a curated record